CGAGGGGUGCAAGCGUUGCUCGGAAUUAUUGGGCGUAAAGGGUAGGUAGGUGGUCUCAUUUGUCUUAUGUGAAAGCCUUGGGCUUAACCCAAGAAGUGCGUAAGAAACGGUGAGACUCGAGUCCUGGAGAGGUAAGUGGAAUUCCCGGUGUAGCGGUGAAAUGCGUAGAGAUCGGGAGGAACACCAGAGGCGAAGGCGGCUUACUGGACAGGUACUGACACUCAACUACGAAAGCGUGGGGAGCAAACAGGAUUAGAUACCCUGGUAGUCCACGCUGUAAACGAUGGGUACUAGGCUUGGCGGGUCUUGACCCCUGCCGAGCCGGAGCUAACGCAAUAAGUACCCCGCCUGGGAAGUACGGUCGCAAGACUA
This 372-nucleotide ribosomal RNA is filed under the name uncultured organism. RNAcentral's name for it is "bacterial SSU rRNA". It matches the Rfam family "Bacterial small subunit ribosomal RNA", at positions 526 to 896 of the family's 1533-position model. The record is from RNAcentral.